RNAcentral lists this long non-coding RNA (1800 nucleotides) under Aplysia californica (California sea hare). RNAcentral's name for it is "uncharacterized LOC118478403". Lineage: Eukaryota; Metazoa; Mollusca; Gastropoda; Aplysiida; Aplysiidae. The record is from RNAcentral.
UGUGUGUGUGUCUGUGUGGCCGGUGGGUUUAGGGAACAACAGAGUCAGUUAUGUUAGGUUGUUGUUUUGUUCCCGUUGAAGGUGCUUCUUGUCUGGGUCUCCGGCUCCUUCGGGUAGCACGUGAGGCAAAACAGUCUCCCGCUGUCCUUCUGGAUAAGCAUCCCGUCUCCUGUUUUCGAUGGCUGGACGGAUACCUCUUGAUCCAGUACGCAAGAAGGAAGGGGGACACCGCGGAUCUGUUGCUGUUGUCGGUCCAUUCUGUUUUGAAGCAGGGGUUGACGACCACACCUUAGCUUGACGAGAAAGGUCUGGUCGCUGCAGGAUCCUAUUCCGCUGCCCUUUGUUCGGCGCAUGUCCCGUGUAAUUUUUCUCUUUUAUUAAUUCAUUAUAUAUUCUUCAACGGUUCUUGUUUUACUCUUUGUAUUUAGCACAGGCGUUGCUGUUUUCCAUGGGAUGCUCUGGGCCCGGGAAGGUCAUUGUCACUUCGGAAGCUUUGUCAGCCAGAUCGUUCCCACAGGGAAUUGGCGUAUUCGAGCUUGUCUGGAGAGACUUGGUCAACAUCUGGAACAUACAACUGAAAUAUCCACUGCCUUUCCUGAACAUAUGUGGUAGUGGCAGUUUUACAUACAUUUAUUCUUCAAAGUACAAAUACACAUUAUAACUUUUUUUUAAAGUUGAAACGUUUUGCGUUUACCUCAAUUUCGGUUGAAAUCUUUAAAUCUUAAUGAUUCUCGAACACGUGCGUUGAUUUUCUUCAAACUGAUAAAUUUAACGUUCCCUUGGUUGAAUAAUGUUUUUGUUUCAGAAUUUGUUGAAAUUUGCCGAAGAUAACCGAGUUAGUUAUCAUCCAUUAAAAAUUAUGGUUCCUCUUUUUUUCAGAGACCUGAUAUUAGCGUGCGCCCAAUUCUCUUGCAUGGUCCAUCAUGACGUUCAAAUUCCCUCCGCAGGUGCUAUUACCUCUGGCUAAAUAUGGGAGGAUCAAGGUCGAUUCCUCCCCGUUUUCCGACGGUCUUUUGUCGAAGCAUUUUAGCGCCCUCCUCUCGUGUGGGAGAAGCAUGAUUUUUCUACUUUUUUUCUCCAACCGUGUUGGUGCAGCCUACUAUGUAAUCCAUUGCCACAAGGUAGGAAGAUCAUGGGGAAGAUGUAGUGCUGUUUGUCUUAGAACGGAGACAGUUGCCACUUGAUGACGAACUUGAUGCUUGGGACUCUUGUUUCGGCAUGCUGUGCUUGAAUAAUUUGGCUUGGCCUGUGAUCAACCUCAGAGGCAUUUAUUUUGAGCAACAUUCAGACGAUUGAUGUGGGUGUCUGAGAGCCAAGGCUGCCAGCUGCUGCUACUUGUACUAGCAAAGUUGAAUAAACGAGGGCGAGAUAGGUCCUGUCUUCCUGAGCUUUGCUUUUUUCGGCCCUAGAUCUAGUCGAGUAUGAUACUGCACUGCUGAGCAUCCGCAUACGUCACAGAUUGGAGGAAUAUGAUUUUUGGAUCUGGCUUCGAUGUUUCCUGCCGAUGAUGAGCUAGCUGGGAUAAAACGUCUGUUUAUGACCCCUUCUUUCAAACACGCAGCAUGGGAUUUAUUGAAAUGUUAAGUAGACGGCCCGCGGUUGGUAUGGUUGGUGAAAAUGUUAGGGACGACAUGGGGCCUUGAGGGGGAGGGGGUGACAUGUGGAGAAGCUGUCUCUCUGGUGACGGUGGCGGUGGCGGCUGAUUUAAAAAAAAAAAAUUUUACUAUUGGUUUGAUGUGUGGAACUCUAAAGUGUCACACGCGUUCUAGUACACGAAGAGAAUGAAGCCAGUGGUCCCGU